UACGUAGGAGGCGAGCGUUGUCCGGAAUGAUUGGGCGUAAAGGGCGCGUAGGCGGCCCGGUAAGUCUGAAGUGAAAGUCCUGGUUUCAAGUUGGGAAUUGCUUUGGAUACUGUCGGGCUUGAGUGCAGGAGGGGUAAGUGGAAUUCCCAGUGUAGCGGUGAAAUGCGUAGAGAUUGGGAGGAACACCAUUGGCGAAGGCGACUUACUGGACCGUAACUGACGCUGAGGCGCGAAAGUGUGGGGAGCAAAC
This 250-nucleotide ribosomal RNA is filed under the name uncultured prokaryote. RNAcentral describes it as "partial 16S ribosomal RNA". It matches the Rfam family "Bacterial small subunit ribosomal RNA", at positions 524 to 773 of the family's 1533-position model. The record is from RNAcentral.